RNAcentral lists this ribosomal RNA (443 nucleotides) under uncultured bacterium. Its description in RNAcentral is "partial 16S ribosomal RNA". It matches the Rfam family "Bacterial small subunit ribosomal RNA", at positions 338 to 795 of the family's 1533-position model. The record is from RNAcentral.
CCUACGGGAGGCAGCAGUGGGGAAUAUUGGGCAAUGGGCGCAAGCCUGACCCAGCAACGCCGCGUGAAGGAAGAAGGCUUUCGGGUUGUAAACUUCUUUUGUCAGGGACGAAGCAAGUGACGGUACCUGACGAAUAAGCCACGGCUAACUACGUGCCAGCCGCCGCGGUAAUACGUAGGUGGCAAGCGUUAACCGGAUUUACUGGGUGGAAAGGGCGUGUAGGCGGGACUGCAAGUCAGAUGUGAAAACCACGGGCUCAACCUGUGACCUGCAUUUGAAACUGGAGUUCUUGAGUACUGGAGAGGGAGAUGGAAUUCCUAGUGUAGCGGUGAAAUGCGUAGAUAUUAGGAGGAACACCAGUGGCGAAGGCGGUCUGCUGGACAGCAACUGACGCUGAGGCGCGAAAGCGUGGGGAGCAAACAGGAUUAGAUACCCGUGUAGUC